UGUAAACUGCCACCGGGUAGGAAUGCAUUAAGCAUUCGUCACACAUCGUUAGGUCUUAGAAGAUGUGUGAGCGAAUGCUUUUUUAUU
RNAcentral lists this non-coding RNA (87 nucleotides) under unclassified sequences. The record is from RNAcentral.